Molecule: transfer RNA, 73 nt
Filed under: Bacteroidota bacterium
Lineage: Bacteria; Pseudomonadati; Bacteroidota
Description: Bacteroidetes bacterium tRNA-Thr
Rfam family: tRNA
About the family: Transfer RNA (tRNA) molecules are approximately 80 nucleotides in length.
Source: RNAcentral
GCCAUCUUAGCUCAGUUGGUAGAGCGGUUCACUCGUAAUGAACAGGUCGCCAGUUCAAGUCUGGUAGAUGGCU